UACGUAGGGUGCAAGCGUUAUCCGGAAUUAUUGGGCGUAAAGAGCUCGUAGGCGGUUUGUUGCGUCUAUCGUGAAAACCUGCAGCUUAACUGUGGGCUUGCGGUGGAUACGGGCAGACUUGAGUUCGGUAGGGGAGACUGGAAUUCCUGGUGUAGCGGUGAAAUGCGUAGAUAUCUGGAGGAACACCGGUGGCGAAGGCGGCAUCCUGGACCGAUAUUGACGCUGAGGCGCGAAAGCCAGGGGAGCAAACGGG
Molecule: ribosomal RNA, 253 nt
Filed under: uncultured bacterium
Lineage: Bacteria
Description: partial 16S ribosomal RNA
Rfam family: Bacterial small subunit ribosomal RNA
Source: RNAcentral